GCCCAGAUAGCUCAGUCGGUAGAGCACCUGACUUUUAAUCAGGGUGUCCCGCGUUCGAGUCGCGGAUAGAUCACCA
This 76-nucleotide transfer RNA is filed under the name Clostridioides difficile. RNAcentral describes it as "tRNA-Lys". The stretch from base 6 to 73 matches the Rfam family "tRNA". From Rfam's summary of the family: Transfer RNA (tRNA) molecules are approximately 80 nucleotides in length. Lineage: Bacteria; Bacillati; Bacillota; Clostridia; Peptostreptococcales; Peptostreptococcaceae. The record is from RNAcentral.